AAUAUGAGCUAACUGCCAUGAUAGGAAACUGCCCUUCACAGAUGGGCACUAUACAGCAGCCAGUCCCGUGAUGUUUAGACAUAUUUCUAUACUUUUCUUCUCUCUUCCAUUCAAUGAAAGGAACGGUUGGACAGAAAAAUGAACUAUGAUUUAAUGCCAGUUUACAGUGGGAGUUAUUUGUCUUAUUUUUCCCUGUGCCAGAUCAAUUAUGAAUUAUCACUGUGCCUGACAUGCUGAAGAGGGUGGCUGUCACCAUAAAAUGCAUGGCUACUGCAAGAACAUUUAAAGAGGAGUAUGUCAUUGGAUUAAAGGUCCAUCUGUGUAUGAUGAAUGUCAGUAUCCUGAUUUUUGGUGUUGGCCAAGAAUAUAUUUGUAGAAGGAAAAUGUGUCAGUUCUACAAUUGGACAAGGUCAUACCUUAUUAUCAUGGAUCUGUGA
This 437-nucleotide long non-coding RNA is filed under the name Lepidothrix coronata (blue-crowned manakin). RNAcentral's name for it is "lncRNA (ENSLCOG00000008286.1)". The record is from RNAcentral. Lineage: Eukaryota; Metazoa; Chordata; Aves; Passeriformes; Pipridae.